GAUGAAGAACGUAGCGAAAUGAGAUAAGUAGUGUGAAUUGCAGAAUUCAGUGAAUCAUCGAAUCUUUGAACGCACAUUGCGCCCCUUGGUAUUCCAUGGGGCAUGCCUGUUCGAGCGUCAUUUGUACCUUCAAGCUUUGCUUGGUGUUGGGUGUUUGUCUCGCCUUUGCGUGUAGACUCGCCUUAAAAUAAUUGGCAGCCGGCGUAUUGAUUUCGGAGCGCAGUACAUCUCGCGCUUUGCACUCAUAACGACAGCGUCCAAAAGUACAUUUUACACUCUUGACCUCGGAUCAGGGAGGGAUACCCGCUGAACUUAAGCAUAUCAAUAAGCGGAGGA
Molecule: unclassified non-coding RNA, 336 nt
Filed under: soil metagenome
Description: partial contains 5.8S ribosomal RNA, internal transcribed spacer 2, and large subunit ribosomal RNA
Rfam family: 5.8S ribosomal RNA (bases 1-120)
Source: RNAcentral